UACAAAAUAUAUAGGAAAAGACAAAAUAACCGUUCGCCGGCACUAUCGGCUGUGUCAUUUACUGAUAUCGUUAUCAUGUAUGAGCUUUUCAAAUAAUUUGACCCUGGCCUAGGGUGAACAGGAUUUAAUAAAUCAUUCAGAUGCACCUUUUCCUCUAUUUAUAAUAAGUUUUUAAAAAGUAUUACAAAACUUUCUCGAUAGAACAAACUACUGCAGAUCGCUAUAUAUCGCGAUAAUUGAUAUCACGUGACAUUUGCCCAUAGAAACUGGACGCUCGAAUCAGCAGGAUCGGAACAUCGUUAGCUUGACUUCUAAUCUUAGGAGUGAAUAUUCCACAUUUAUCUUUAAUUUGGUGCUUGAUUUGCGGAUGGAUUUACGUAAAUGAUAUGGGCUGAUGUGAAUGGAAUGCGUUUUGAGGAAUUAAAGUAACAUGACAACUGAUUAUCCGAUACCAAAUUCACCAUCGGAUCAAUUGGAAGACCUUCAUGUGUAUGUAUUACCAAGAGAAUCAUGGAAUGAUAAAUAUAGCAGCGUUUUCACCAAUGAUUCCAUCUCGGAUGCGCGGUCUGCUGGAUUUGUCAGCAUAUCGCCAAACCUGACACUUAAUGAAUUACGGACCGAGCUAAUAAGGACCUUAGGAGGUGAUAUACCUGCAAGCUUUGCAUUCCUCCAUAGUGUAGGAAGAUGUAUGACAAGGGUAA
Long non-coding RNA from Lytechinus pictus (painted urchin), 701 nucleotides. RefSeq lists it as uncharacterized. The record is from RefSeq and is a predicted model, not a curated record. The transcript is spliced from 3 exons. Lineage: Eukaryota; Metazoa; Echinodermata; Echinoidea; Temnopleuroida; Toxopneustidae.